GUCGCCGGCCCAAACAUGUCAUGUCAAUCCGACUAUAACCCUCCAUCUAACUCACAUCCACCUCACGCGCCGCCUCUUAAACCUCAUCUCUCACCCUCCUCCGCCGUCUCACCGCCUACUGCCACUACUCACCGAUCUUCCGACGGAAACUCCACCACCAGCCAUCAAUCAGAAACUGCCGCCACUGCUUCCAUGGAUGACAAUGGCGUAGCACCGCCGCUAGAACUACGACGACCGCCACCACCACCGCCACCACAUCCUCCUAGGAACACGUCAUUCCCGGUCAGGGAAGAUUGCUGGUCGGAGGAGGCAACGUUUACGCUAAUCGAGGCUUGGGGAGAUAGAUACGUUGAACUUAACCGUGGUAAUCUCCGUCAGAAACAUUGGCAGGAAGUAGCCGACUCCGUCAACGCCCGUCACGGCCAUACGAAGAAAGCUCGCCGGACUGAUAUACAGUGUAAGAACCGAAUCGACACUCUUAAGAAGAAGUACAAGGUUGAGAAGUCUAAGGUUUUGGAGUUAGGUGCUGAUAACUACGUUUCUCCAUGGCCGUUUUUCGCACCGCUUGAUUCCCUGAUCGGUUCCUCCUUCAAACCCUCCACACAGACACCGACACCACCGCCUCAACGUAAACGGAUCUCGACUCCGCCGUCACUCCCCGCACUUCCUCCUCCGCCCUCAUCGGUCCCUGUCGGCCCGCGAUCGAAACGUCCGGCACCGCCAGCCUACCAACCGUCGACUGACAGUUCGUUUUUCCGGCGUAAUUUCUCCGUGAUGGCGGCGGCCGCUGCUGCAAUUGACGGUGCUGAGGACUCUGAUACGUCCUGGUCAAGCGGUGGUAAUGGGCCACGGCGGUUGCGGAUGCAGAAGGCUGAUAACACCGGUGGCGAUCCGUAUCAUCAACUGGCUGAGGCGAUUGCAAGGUUUGCAGAGGUGUAUCAAAGGGUGGAAGAAGCCAAACAAAAGCAGAUGGUUGAAUUAGAAAAGCAUCGGCUGCAAUUCACCAAGGAUUUAGAGCUUCAGAGGAUGAAACUAUUGAUGGAAUCUCAGUUGCAGCUGGUGAAGAUGAAGCGUUCAAAAAGGAAUCCAGAGCCCGGCUACGGACAAGAAGGCUGUGAUUGAGAUACAGACGAGUUAGGAACUAAAAGACUCUGCUCCCCGGUCUCGCUCGGGUGAUGCCACGGGUCAUCACCCCCUUGCACGCAAGGAAGUGGGCAUGCCAGCUGAAGAAGGUGGCUCUAUACCAGAUGGAAUUGGAAAGUGAUUUUUGUAGAAGCGAUGAUGAAGGAGAUCACUCGGCCAGCAUCAGUUAGAGGUUUUUGGAAGAUUUGAUAGCUUUUGUGUUUAUAAGAAGAUGGUAGAUGUGGGUGCAAUGUUUAGGGUUAGGGUUAGGGUUGAGAGUUUUGUGAAGCUUGUGUUUAUUAUGUUGUGAAGGAAG
This is an RNA transcript of Cynara cardunculus var. scolymus (artichoke), 1438 nucleotides long. It is a transcript of the gene named trihelix transcription factor ASIL2-like, with no coding region annotated. Lineage: Eukaryota; Viridiplantae; Streptophyta; Magnoliopsida; Asterales; Asteraceae. The transcript is spliced from 3 exons. The record is from RefSeq and is a predicted model, not a curated record.